UUGAUUGCCCUUGUGUGUGCAGUCCUCUAUCUACCUGCAGAACAGCACGGACAGUGGCAGGGCAAACUUUUCUUACACUGCCCCCUACUGAUGUGUCUCAACCCUGUCUUCAAGGGAUCACCUCCAAAGAUGGGAGAGGAGUUCAGUCUCCUUGGCAUAUUUCCUGCUUGCUGGU
Molecule: small RNA, 175 nt
Filed under: Gopherus agassizii (Agassiz's desert tortoise)
Lineage: Eukaryota; Metazoa; Chordata; Testudines; Testudinidae
Description: TUC338 (ENSGAGG00000014597.1)
Source: RNAcentral